GGGGUUAAAUAGUUGCUUGGGUCGGAUACUAUGAGUAUCGACCAAGUCUAAGAGUAAAUGCAAAAAGUUAAGACAAAAAUCGAAUCAGGUUUGAAAAAGGAAAGAGAGAAUAUAUUAUUUAUUUUUUUUUUGAAAACUUGGAGAACAAUCCGAAAAUUUAAAAAAACAAGGAAAGUGAAUAUAACUUUUUUUUUUUUAAAAAAAAAAAAUGGAAAAAUCGAAAACUUGGAGAACAAUCCGAAAAACUUAAGGAAAGUAAAUAUUUUUUUGUGAAUUGCGACGGCUAGGGUUCAGAAAGAACUGAGUUUCGCAGGAAACUUCAGCUCUGAUACCAAAAUGUUGUAGGCACGGGUCGGAGGGUCGAACGGACGGACGGACGGACGGACGGAUGGCCGUUCCGCGGUUCAGUCUUGCCUCGGAUGGAUGGUACUGGCCGGCUUAUCUCUUGCUUGUGUUCGAACCUGAAACAGAUAGGAACCUUUAGUGAGUUUUCAACAGGAACAAGAACAGAAACUAGAUAUGAUUCUUUUGGUUUUUUUAUGGAAUUGGUUGAAUGAAAUCUAAAACAAAAGAUAGAGAAAGGAGUAGAUUGGCGGAUGGGAUCUGCUGCUGGACGUAUGUCUCUCUCAGCAAGAUGCCUAGGUCGGACAGGAAGAUAAGUAUGGAUCCGGCUCUUGCUGGACGUAUGUCUCUCUCAAGAUUCGGACAAGGAAUGGAAUGGAUCGAAGGACGCCACAAAGAACAAUGGAUCGGCUCUUUGAUAUGUCACACGGCUGCUCUCAAUGUUUCACACAACUGAAAGACUUAGGGUUUCUUUGCUAAAGCAAAAACGAUUU
This 836-nucleotide long non-coding RNA is filed under the name Brassica rapa (field mustard). RNAcentral's name for it is "long non-coding RNA (BRAP_LNC008665)". The record is from RNAcentral. Lineage: Eukaryota; Viridiplantae; Streptophyta; Magnoliopsida; Brassicales; Brassicaceae.